Molecule: ribosomal RNA, 800 nt
Filed under: uncultured Bacillota bacterium
Lineage: Bacteria; Bacillati; Bacillota
Description: bacterial SSU rRNA
Rfam family: Bacterial small subunit ribosomal RNA
Source: RNAcentral
AAAGUGGAGCAAUCCAUGAGUAAAGUGGCGUACGGGUGAGUAACACGUGACUAACCUACCCUUGAGUGGGGAAUAACCUCGGGAAACCGGGGCUAAUACCGCAUAACACCUUCGGGUCAAAGGAGCAAUUCGCUUAAGGAGGGGGUCGCGGCUGAUUAGCUAGUUGGUGGGGUAAUGGCCUACCAAGGCAAUGAUCAGUAUCCGGCCUGAGAGGGCGCACGGACACACUGGAACUGAAACACGGUCCAGACUCCUACGGGAGGCAGCAGUGGGGAAUUUUGCACAAUGGGGGAAACCCUGAUGCAGCAACGCCGCGUGGAGGAUGAAGUCCCUUGGGAUGUAAACUCCUUUCGACCGGGACGAUAAUGACGGUACCGGUGGAAGAAGCCCCGGCUAACUCUGUGCCAGCAGCCGCGGUAAUACAGAGGGGGCAAGCGUUGUUCGGAAUUAUUGGGCGUAAAGGGUGCGUAGGCGGUGCGGUAAGUCUUCUGUGAAAUCUCCGGGCUCAACUCGGAGCCUGCAGGAGAAACUGCCGUGCUUGAGUAUGGGAGAGGUGAGUGGAAUUCCUGGUGUAGCGGUGAAAUGCGUAGAUAUCAGGAGGAACACCUGUGGCGAAAGCGGCUCACUGGACCAUAACUGACGCUGAGGCACGAAAGCUAGGGGAGCAAACAGGAUUAGAUACCCUGGUAGUCCUAGCCCUAAACGAUGAUUGCUUGGUGUAGCAGGUACCCAAUCCUGCUGUGCCGCAGCUAACGCGUUAAGCAAUCCGCCUGGGGAGUACGGUCGCAAGGCUGAAACUC